RNAcentral lists this unclassified non-coding RNA (5014 nucleotides) under Hevea brasiliensis (rubber tree). Lineage: Eukaryota; Viridiplantae; Streptophyta; Magnoliopsida; Malpighiales; Euphorbiaceae. The record is from RNAcentral.
GAAAAUUUCUUCAAGCCUUGCUGAAGGUAAUGGUCGUUCACCUAGGUCCUCAUCCAUCAGAAAUCUGUUCAUGGUAUAUUCACAUCUAGUCAAAAGAACCCUGAUUGAGAUUUUGCUGACUUCAGAUCUUGUCGAGCUCCAAUCACCAGCUUCAUUAUCGUAACUGCUCAAGAAAAACAACUUCUGCAAGCAAGCCAGGGAAAAUCUGCUACAAUGAAAUGGCAUAAGUUCCACGGUUUCAAUGGGCAAAGAGCAUGUGCGUGAUGCACAACGGUCCAUGGUGGAAACUAGUCGCUCCAGAAUCUGUCAGGCGAAAACACAGAAUUAGCUAAGGAAUGAUAUUUUGUAUCAGUAUCUAAGACCUUAAGGAAUACUUUGAAAUUACAUUAAUACACAUAGGACACAGAUUCAAUGGAGUAAACAUAAUACGAUAGGAAUUAUUCAGGAUUCUGCUAAUGAUAAUGAUCACCAUUGUCAUAUGAUUGAGAUCAUCAAACAAAAAAAAAAAUAUACUAGAAUGUGCACAGGGAAAGUAAACCUAUGGCUACAAGAUACAACAACUUUGGAAGAUCCAAAAUUUGAGCUCAUGCAACCUUACAACCUAGACAAAAUUAGUAAAGUAGGCUAAAUUCAUGAGAAAAGUUCAAAAGAAACUACUGUCAUUACUAUUGGCGGCAACAUCAGAUUUAUCUAAAGGUAGUAGUUGAACUGCAUCUACAAAUAUAUUGGCUAAAUGUGCCUAGUCAAGGCCCUUAUGUUACACAGCUAAUGUUAGAGCUGUAAUUGGUAAGAAAAUUACAUCAACAGGUGCAUCAAUUGGUGAUUUAAGAAUCUUAUCACCCAGAACAUGCAGAAUGGUCAUCUCCAGUGCCUCAUCAGCCUUAAGUGCUUCAGCUGAGAGAGAGUUGGAAGGUAUGGCACGACCACAAUAGCCUACCAGGAAUAUUUCAUAAACAUCUGCUAUUUCUUUCCAGACACGUGUUCUCAUAGGUCUAUUAAUUCUGGAAUCUGGUCCAAAAUUCCCAGUAAACUUGCAAAAGUCAUCAGCAAGAACACGGUUGAAGCCUUCAACAGCCACUCUCCAAAGUGAACCAUCUGGAUUGUCUCUUCUUGUAGUCAUACACCUUCCGAGACUCUGAAUAAUUUCAGGAAAUAUAAUAUAUUUUUCAACUGCUGCAGCAUGUAGGAAAAGAUCUAUCAGCACAGGAACAAGCUUUUCUGCAAAUGCAUAACUUGGAAUUCCACCCAAUACUGUUAUCGUUGAUCCAGAACCCUGAGGUGGGGCUUCAGCUUCUUUUGGGAAAAUGGAAGCUGUACCAUUGGGCAUUUCAUCCUUUCUCUUUAUAUUAUUGCCUGGUACAUUAUCAGUAAUGCUGGCUUGCUUAACCUCCUCAUCAUUUUUUUGCAAAGAAGAAUCUGAUCUUGGAAGAUAUUGUAAAAGCUCCCUAAGAAGAACAAGCCACAUUGAAGAGAUGAGUUCAGUUGGAUGCAACAGCGGUAAGAUUUCUAAUACGGUACGCAGCACAGGAGGAACAUGUCCAAAUUCACUUUCAAAGUUUUCAUUGGUAGUUAUGGCUUGCUUAAUUGCCAAAUCUAUGAUCCCAAUCAACUGAGAGAACAUUUGAUCAUCAAACAUCCUUUGUGCUUGCACAUACAAUUCACCAAGACCAUGUAAAAUCUCUUGCUUCACCUUGCUAGCUGCAUUGCCAGUGUAGUUUGUUGAUUUUUGAAUAACAUGCUUGUAUGCACCAAGUAUGGAUAUAAGGUAAGGCAUUGGCAAAUUACCCUUUAGGCAAUGAGAAUGAACAGUUGUCUGCAGACAGUUUAUUCCAGCAAUGGCGACCUCUUUACUACCAUUUAAAAUACUAUUCUUCACAAAGAGAAGCAAAGAUUCCCAUCCUGACCAGAAAUUGCUUAAGCUACUGAGAAAGGGAAAGAAAGAACGCAAUAGACGUGCUAUUCCACCAAGGACCAGUACCAGUGUUUCAUCCCACUGUUUCUGAACUGUAUUACGACUAUGAUGGAUCAGCAUAUGAACUGCUUUUCCUCCUCGAGUUCCUAGUUCUUUCCCUUGUGAUUCAUCUUUUGAUGAUGUUGCCGCCAUGUGAGAAGAACGAUCUAAAGCAGGAAAAACAUAAUUCCAAAGACAAUCCUCCCACAUGCUUUUUGAAAGUUUUUGCCCAUGACUUCCAAGAGUUUGAAAGAGUGUCCUGACAGCAGCAUUUCUGACCUCUGGCCUCUCAUCAGCUCCAAGCCUCUGAAGUAACGAGAAAACAGAGAACAGCAACUUGUCAUGAUCAAUGAUAUUUACUGUGGGAGCUUGGUCAUUCACUUUAUCUGUUGCUUCUGGAGUCUGCUCUUCUUUUAAUUCACCAUCUAGUUGCCUUAAAAUAGGAUGCUCAUCAAGAAUACUGGUUUCCUUUUCUUCCGGAGGCCCAUGCAGAAGCCCCUUCACAAUAAAAUCAGUGGUGGUCCAUAAGAGGCCUAUUGCAGUUAAACUUAUAUUCAGUUCAGUCUUUUGAGCACUGUAUGCUCCGGUGACAUCUACACAUCUGUAAUAUCAACAUUGUUACUGGUAAUCGUUCUAAACAGGUGUCAGAAAGUGGUAACUUGCCUUAAUGUAUGGUAACUAUCAAUCUUAAAUUGCAUGAGCCCUAGAAGAAACUCAUUCAUUAAAUAAAAGUUAAAACCUGCACCCCAGAAUCCAUCAAAUAUAUUAACCACAGGACCAUAAAAAAUUGAAAUUUUAUUCUGAAUGAUUUGUUUCAAGUUCCCUCUUCCACUAUGGUUUCCAUAUCUUCUCCUAAUUCUUAAGACCUGAACUUUACCAGUAAAUUUAUAUUGCAUACUUAUUCAAUGUGCAUCAAGCUUCCACAAACUUUGAAUAUCUUAUAAGAACAAAGACUGUACAGAUGUACACUAUCACAGUAUCCCUACAGCACACAUAACUAAAACCAUAUAUUUAUGACCUUCAUUCUAAGGAAUAUGCAGAAGAAAUGGAAAUGCAAUUUCACUAUCAACUCAAAAAAUUAGAGGAUUUUAACUAUUUGAGUAAAAACAUAAUCUACAUUUAAAAAUUUCAUGAACAUUCUAAUCCAUGGGCGUGCACACACAGACACAAACACAGACACAGACAUAAAGUAUGUAUGUAGGAAUCUGAAAAGAGAAAUAUGAAAUGGUUAUUUAAAUAAAAUGAGUAGUAAGAAAGAAAACAUGUGAGAAAAUAGAUGAAAGAGACACUACUGAAACUGCUAAACUUCAGUUCCAAAACCAAAAAUCACAACUAAAUUUCAUAUCUUACACAUUGAGACAUUCAGUGGGUAUCGAAGUAAGUCCAUCGUUCAUAAUUACUCUUAGGCUCUGGAAACCCAAAGCAACGAGAUCUUUCUCUGGUGCGUCGGCAACUGACCUUAAUGUUUCAAGAAUAUCUGGCCAACUGUAAUAUAAUUUUUCUCCAUGCCUCUCCAGAACAUGCAGAAGAAUUUUCAAGCAUCCAGCAUGUACAUCAGCACUUUGAGUGGAAAAAUACAGAACCCUAAGUGGAGAUAUGACAGAACACUCGAGCAAUCUCAACCCUUUAUGCCUAGUUUCCAUAUCAUCAGAUGUCCCAUUAAGUCUGGAUGACACAUAAUCCUGGAACUGUUCAGAACCUAAAACAGCACAGAUCGAUUGAUCUAAUGCAUCAAGGGCCAUAUUCCGCAAAUGCUGAUUGGAAUUAUCAGCUAGAUCUAGAAAGUGGCUCACAACUUGAUCCCACAAUGGCUCCACUCUGUGAAGAUUAUUGACAAGGAUGGAUAUCAUCCUCUCCACUGAAAAACUAAUGCUUCCAAUCUUUUGACUCACUGCUGGUCCAAAACCACUUGAUGCUUCAGUCAUGCAUUGCUGUGACAAUUGACACAGUGCAGAAAGAAGUGAUUUAACUGCAGAUAUGUGCAUCAAUGCUGAGCUCUCAAAUAGCUGGGAAUUCAAUGAAGACAGAAUACUGAAGUCACUGUAUUGGCCAGAAGAUUCUCUUGGAAGCUUUUGGACAGCUGUGGAGAUUUCCUGGGUGGUGGCAUGUGGAGAGUGAAUUGCCCGAUCUAGAGCUGCUAAAGUUUCCAAAACUAAAACCCAUGAUGGCCCUAAAACGUUGUGCAACCGAUGAGCAAUGUUGAAGAGAGUCCUCAGGGCCUGCACAUUCUUGGGAGUAAGAACAACACUCUCCCUCGGUUCAACUAGUGACUCAGGCCGUUUUGGCCCAGGAGACAGCACUGCACUCUUUUUCUCUGCUUCAUUUGGAAAAUUAAUAGUGAAUUUACAAAGCGAUGCUAGAAAAGAGUUCAAAGGUUCUACAGCAUGAAGAACCCCACAUGCCUGAGUGAAUGCCUGAUAUCCCUUCAAUAUUUCCAACACAAUAGCCUCUCCUUGUGACCUCGACAAAAUAAGGGACAAAGCAUCAAGAAUUGUCAACCACAAUGAAUCAACCAUUGCAACACAAAGAACAGCAGUUUUCCCAGCAAAUUUUGACACAGAAUCAUAUUCACUUCUGGGAGACUCAAGCUCCCCAACAUCCACUGCUUCAUCAGUCAAAGUAGCUACAGUAAAGACAACACCCAACAGCCCUUCAACUGCCAAAGUUAUGGCGUGGGCUUCACUAGCAACCAGGACAGCAGCAUUGGAUGCAUCAUUAUCCAGACUCCAUUCAAUCCCUUUAGCCUUGCUGCUAAACAUCCCUGCAACAGCGGCCAGGCUCUCCUCACUUGUUUCUUGAACCUGUACAUUUGAAACAACCCGAGCAAGAGCUUUAACCAUACCCUCCACAACAUUUGUGUUCUUAGGAUGCAUAUCAAAGUUCUGGAAAAGAAUUUUUAAAGUCCGUGCCUCUACACAAAAACCCCUCAAGAUCUCAAGCACAAGUAUACGGUGCCAUAAUGGCAAAUCAAGAAAAGUAACCUUCACAAGCAUACUAAGAAAAACCUCACAUUCAGUAAUAAGGGAUGAACUGUACAGCCUGAUAAUAUGAGCAACUGAUCGC